RNAcentral lists this ribosomal RNA (253 nucleotides) under uncultured bacterium. Its description in RNAcentral is "partial 16S ribosomal RNA". It matches the Rfam family "Bacterial small subunit ribosomal RNA", at positions 524 to 776 of the family's 1533-position model. The record is from RNAcentral.
UACGAAGGGGGCUAGCGUUGUUCGGAUUUACUGGGCGUAAAGCGCACGUAGGCGGAUUGGUCAGUUAGGGGUGAAAGCCCGGGGCUCAACCCCGGAACUGCCUUUAAGACUGCAUCGCUUGAAUCCGGGAGAGGUGAGUGGAAUUCCGAGUGUAGAGGUGAAAUUCGUAGAUAUUCGGAAGAACACCAGUGGCGAAGGCGGCUCACUGGACCGGUAUUGACGCUGAGGUGCGAAAGCGUGGGGAGCAAACAGG